Hordeum vulgare subsp. vulgare (domesticated barley) is the source of this 124-nucleotide non-coding RNA. The record is from Rfam. NCBI's taxonomy places the organism in Eukaryota, Viridiplantae, Streptophyta, Magnoliopsida, Poales, Poaceae.
GUAGUACUCCCUCCGUCCGGAAAUACUUGUCCUAAAAAUGAAUGUAUCUAGAUUUAUUUUAGUUAUAGAUACAUCCAUUAUAUCUAUUUUUAGGACAAGUAUUUUCGGACGGAGAUAGUAUUAU